GGGGUUUCACCGUGUUAGUCAGGAUGGGCUCGAUCUCCUGACCUCAUGAUCUGCCCCCCUCGGCCUCCCAAAGUGCUGGGAUUACAGGCAUGAACCACUGCACCCGGCCAGUUUCAACCUCUUAUUUGCUUCUUGUGUUCACACAAAAUGUGGGAUUCUGCUUCCUUACAUAAUUUAGCAAUUAUAAUACCUUAUAGCUCUCACAUCUGUGUAAAUUGUGACACAUUUAGUUCAAAUUUCUGUAGCAAUUUCAUAGUAUAGCGUUCCUGAUAUUUUUCUAAAAAGCAAAUGGCAAAUGUUUAGAUUUUUUAUUAUAUCACAUGUAUCUUUUAUGUUCGUAGCAACUACUCUAAAUUCUUAUGAUUCAAACACCCCAGGACCUGCUGGUGACAACCCCCUGGAGCUGAGUAGGAUUCCUGAUGAAAACUGCCAGAUUAACAGAUAUGGCCACUUUCAAGCCACCAUCACAAUUGUAGAGGGAAUCUUAGAGGUUAACAUCAUCCAGAUGACAGAUGUCCUGAUGCCGGUGCCAUGGCCUGACAGCUCCCUAAUAGACUUUGUCGUGACCUGCCAAGGGAGCAUUCCCACGGAGGUCUGUACCAUCAUUUCUGACCCCACCUGCGAGAUCACCCAGAACACAGUCUGCAGCCCUGUGGAUGUGGAUGACAUGUGUCUGCUGACUGUGAGACGAACCUUCAAUGGGUCUGGGACGUACUGUGUGAACCUCACCCUGGGGGAUGACACAAGCCUGGCUCUCACGAGCACCCUGAUUUCUGUUCCUGACAGAG
RNAcentral lists this small RNA (788 nucleotides) under Pan troglodytes (chimpanzee). Its description in RNAcentral is "retained intron". Lineage: Eukaryota; Metazoa; Chordata; Mammalia; Primates; Hominidae. The record is from RNAcentral.